AUGGCCCCAGCGCAGCAAGCCUCGCCACCCCCGAUUCUCACCGUCCUCGCCACCACUCUCGUAGCGCCCUCGCCCAGCGCCGGCGCCGCCCCGCCGGAGUCCUCCCUCCCGCUCACCUUCUUCGACGUCUUCUGGCUCAACCUCCCACCCGUCGAGCGUGUCUUCUUCUACCGCCUCGCCGCCGACGCCGACAUCCCCACCAUCCUCUCCAACCUCAAGACCUCGCUGGCCAAAGCUCUCAGCGCCUACUACCCGCUCGCCGGCCGCCUCCGCCUCACGCCCGGGACGGCUGACCGCUACGAGAUCCACUACCAGCCGGGCGACGCCGUCACCUUCACCGUCGCCGAGUACCAUGGUGAUGUUGACGUCGACGAGCUGGCCGUCGACCGGCCGAGGGAGAUCACCAGGAUCGCACCGCUCGCACCGCCACUGCCGAAGGGCGGCGCGGUGCUCGCGCUGCAGGCCACCGUGAUGCGCCGUGGCCUCGCCAUCGGCAUGGCCGUGCACCACGCCGCCUGCGACGGGGCGACCUCCACGCGCUUCCUGCACGCCUGGGCGGCGGCCAGCACCGGCGCUAUUGAGCCACCACGCCCUGUCAUCGACAGAACUCUCGUGAAGGACCCAACGGGUCUCUACGACGUCUUCGUGAAAGCCAAGCCGACCGCCGGCGAGAUGGAUCGCGUCAAGACGUGGGAGCACCGACUCCUCGCCACGUUCACGCUGUCGAAUGAAGACAUACAACGCGUCAAGGACGUGAUAGCAAGCGAAGCGGAGCGGCGAGGCGCGCCGCCGCCGCGCUGCUCCUCGUUGGUAGCCACCUUCGGCUUCAUGUGGUCAUGCCACCAGCGAGCCAAAGACGAUGUAGGAAGCACCGGCGGCGACCCCACAUACUUGCUCUUCCCCGUCGACCACCGCUCACGGAUGAAGCCCCCCGUCCCGGACGAGUACCUCGCCCCCGCGCCGCCGUUGCCUCGCCGACCCCGCCGGCCAUGCCAUCCCGCCGCCGCCUGA
Molecule: ribosomal RNA, 1011 nt
Filed under: Triticum aestivum (bread wheat)
Lineage: Eukaryota; Viridiplantae; Streptophyta; Magnoliopsida; Poales; Poaceae
Description: partial small subunit ribosomal RNA
Source: RNAcentral